RNAcentral lists this ribosomal RNA (460 nucleotides) under uncultured bacterium. Its description in RNAcentral is "partial 16S ribosomal RNA". It matches the Rfam family "Bacterial small subunit ribosomal RNA", at positions 338 to 795 of the family's 1533-position model. The record is from RNAcentral.
CCUACGGGUGGCAGCAGUGAGGAAUAUUGGUCAAUGGACGCGAGCCUGAACCAGCCAAGUCGCGUGAAGGAUGACGGCCCUACGGGUUGUAAACUUCUUUUGUACGAGAGUAAAGUGCGACACGUGUGCCUGUUUGUAUGUACUUUAUGAAUAAGGAUCGGCUAACUCCGUGCCAGCAGCCGCGGUAAUACGGAGGAUCCGAGCGUUAUCCGGAUUUAUUGGGUUUAAAGGGAGCGUAGACGGGUUGUUAAGUCAGUUGUGAAAGUUUGCGGCUCAACCCUAAAAUUGCAAUUGAUACUGGUAGACUAGAGUACAGUUGAGGUAGGCGGAAUGCGUGGUGUAGCGGUGAAAUGCUUAGAUAUCAUGAAGAACUCCGAUUGCGAAGGCAGCCUACUAAACUGCCACUGACAUUGAUGCACGAAAGUGUGGGUAUCAAACAGGAUUAGAUACCCUGGUAGUC